RNAcentral lists this transfer RNA (71 nucleotides) under Bos taurus (domestic cattle). It matches the Rfam family "tRNA". Rfam says of the family: Transfer RNA (tRNA) molecules are approximately 80 nucleotides in length. The record is from Rfam by way of RNAcentral. RNAcentral also lists the same sequence under 3 other names. Lineage: Eukaryota; Metazoa; Chordata; Mammalia; Artiodactyla; Bovidae.
UCCCAGGUGUCUCAGUAGUGAAGAAUCUGCCUACAAUGCAGGAGACGCAGGUUCAAUCCCUGGGUUGGGAA